Molecule: ribosomal RNA, 407 nt
Filed under: uncultured bacterium
Lineage: Bacteria
Description: partial 16S ribosomal RNA
Rfam family: Bacterial small subunit ribosomal RNA
Source: RNAcentral
AUUGAACGCUGGCGGCAGGCCUAACACAUGCAAGUCGAGCGGAGCGGCGGACGGGUGAGUAAUGCCUAGGAAUCUGCCUGGUAGAGGGGGAUAAAGUCCGGAAACGGACGCUAAUACAGCAUACUAUCAGACGAGCCUAUGUCGGAUUAGCUAGUAGGUGGGGUAAGGGCCUACCAAGGCGACGAUCCGUAACUGGUCUGAGAGGAUGAUCAGUCACACUGGAACUGAGACACGGUCCAGACUCCUACGGGAGGCAGCAGUGGGGAAUAUUGGACAAUGGGCGCAAGCCUGAUGCAGCCAUGCCGCGUGUAUGAAGAAGGUCCUAGGGUUGUAAAGUACUUUCAGUUGGGAGGCGUUACCGACAGAAUAAGCACCGGCUAACUUCGUGCCAGCAGCCGCGGUAAUAC